RNAcentral lists this ribosomal RNA (353 nucleotides) under Salmonella enterica subsp. enterica serovar Newport. RNAcentral's name for it is "bacterial SSU rRNA". It matches the Rfam family "Bacterial small subunit ribosomal RNA", at positions 281 to 626 of the family's 1533-position model. Lineage: Bacteria; Pseudomonadati; Pseudomonadota; Gammaproteobacteria; Enterobacterales; Enterobacteriaceae. The record is from RNAcentral.
CCCUAGCUGGUCUGAGAGGAUGACCAGCCACACUGGAACUGAGACACGGUCCAGACUCCUACGGGAGGCAGCAGUGGGGAAUAUUGCACAAUGGGCGCAAGCCUGAUGCAGCCAUGCCGCGUGUAUGAAGAAGGCCUUCGGGUUGUAAAGUACUUUCAGCGGGGAGGAAGGUGUUGUGGUUAAUAACCGCAGCAAUUGACGUUACCCGCAGAAGAAGCACCGGCUAACUCCGUGCCAGCAGCCGCGGUAAUACGGAGGGUGCAAGCGUUAAUCGGAAUUACUGGGCGUAAAGCGCACGCAGGCGGUCUGUCAAGUCGGAUGUGAAAUCCCCGGGCUCAACCUGGGAACUGCAU